GAUGAAGAACGCAGCGAAAUGCGAUAAGUAAUGUGAAUUGCAGAAUUCAGUGAAUCAUCGAAUCUUUGAACGCACAUUGCACCCGCCAGUAUUCUGGCGGGCAUGCCUGUUCGAGCGUCAUUUCAACCAUCAAGCCCCAGGCUUGUGUUGGGGACCUGCGGCUGCCGCAGGCCCUGAAAACCAGUGGCGGGCUCGCUGUCACACCGGGCGUAGUAGAUUUUAUCUCGCUCAGGGCGUGCUGCGGGUUCCGGCCGUUAAAAAGCCUUUUUUACCCAAGGUUGACCUCGGAUCAGGUAGGAAGACCCGCUGAACUUAAGCAUAUCAAUAAGCGGAGGA
RNAcentral lists this unclassified non-coding RNA (336 nucleotides) under soil metagenome. Its description in RNAcentral is "partial contains 5.8S ribosomal RNA, internal transcribed spacer 2, and large subunit ribosomal RNA". The stretch from base 1 to 120 matches the Rfam family "5.8S ribosomal RNA", at positions 35 to 154 of the family's 154-position model. The record is from RNAcentral.